Molecule: long non-coding RNA, 864 nt
Filed under: Nicotiana benthamiana
Lineage: Eukaryota; Viridiplantae; Streptophyta; Magnoliopsida; Solanales; Solanaceae
Description: long non-coding RNA (NBEN_LNC038929)
Source: RNAcentral
UUUUGUUUUUCCUUUCUCCACUGAGCCGAGGGUCGAUUGGAAACAGCCUCUCUACCCUUUCGGGUAGGGGUAAGGCCCGUCUACAUAUUAACCUCCCUAGACCCCACUUUGUGGGACAAGACUGGGUAGUUGUUGUUGUUGUUGUUGUAGAGUUCAUAGUCGCACAGAUUCAGAAGGAACUUAGAGAGAGAAUUAGCAAUCGUGCACAAAAAUGUUAUUGAAUAGAUAAACAUGUAUAAUCUUGCAAGUCUAUGGUUCUUCAGUGAAGAUCACUUUCACUUUUCAGCAUACGAUCUUCUUGUGUUAGGUUCUCCUGUAACAGCUUAGGUGCAACAACAAUAUGAAGCAAGAAAACUUACUAGGACUCCUAUAACAUCCUCUAAAAGCAAUGCAUUUUUGGAGGAUCCGACACGAAUGCGGCAGCAUUUUAAAGAGUCCGCGCAACAUAGCUAUAAAGAAAAGUUCCAUUAAGAACAGCAGUGAAUUACCUCAGAAUUCAGCAACAGUUUCCAAAAACGUCUCAAGGUCUUCUUCAGAUACAAUGACUCGUUUGCUACAGAAAUAGGAGCAGUAGUUACCUAUACCGAAGAAAAACCUGUUACUCUACAUAAGUUGAAGUAAACAGUUGAACAAUAGAUCAAGUUCUAAAAGUGUCAUUAAGUCCAGUCUUGACCAAGUCAUAUCAUGAUCAAAUAUUAUCUCAUAGAUGAGGCUUCCGUCAUUAAUAUAGACUCAGAAGUCAGAACUUCAUGUUUAAUCCUCCCUUUACCUUUUCUUUGUAGCUGUUAGUUGGCUGAUUUACCCAAGGUGCACACUCUAGCACUUUAGCUUCUUCAUCGAAGCACCACCUAAAUGACACGGAGC